This 465-nucleotide ribosomal RNA is filed under the name uncultured bacterium. Its description in RNAcentral is "bacterial SSU rRNA". It matches the Rfam family "Bacterial small subunit ribosomal RNA", at positions 28 to 494 of the family's 1533-position model. The record is from RNAcentral.
GAUGAACGCUAGCGGCAGGCUUAACACAUGCAAGUCGAGGGGUAGAAGGAGCUUGCUCCUUUGAGACCGGCGCACGGGUGCGUAACGCGUAUGCAAUCUACCUUUUGCAGAGGGAUAGCCCAGAGAAAUUUGGAUUAAUACCUCAUAGUAUGUGAGGAUGGCAUCAUUUUCACAUUAAAGUCACAACGGCAAAGAUGAGCAUGCGUCCCAUUAGCUAGUUGGUAAGGUAACGGCUUACCAAGGCGACGAUGGGUAGGGGUCCUGAGAGGGAGAUCCCCCACACUGGUACUGAGACACGGACCAGACUCCUACGGGAGGCAGCAGUGAGGAAUAUUGGACAAUGGGCGCAAGCCUGAUCCAGCCAUGCCGCGUGCAGGAUGACGGUCCUAUGGAUUGUAAACUGCUUUUGUACAGGAAGAACCCUUUCACGUGUGAGAGAUUGACGGUACUGUAAGAAUAAGGAUC